UGAGUUGCAAACUCCCACCAUUGUGACUUACCUAUCGUUGCUUCGGCGGCGAGGCCCUUGCAAACGACCUCCUCCACCCCCUCGGUGGAUGCUAGCCCGUCCGAGGGCUUCCAAGCUAGUAGCAUAACAAUGGCCUCUCUGAAGUAGCUUAUAAAUAAGUCA
This 162-nucleotide unclassified non-coding RNA is filed under the name soil metagenome. RNAcentral describes it as "partial internal transcribed spacer 1". The record is from RNAcentral.